This 446-nucleotide ribosomal RNA is filed under the name Eriovixia sp. 66 DD-2019. RNAcentral describes it as "partial 16S large subunit ribosomal RNA". It matches the Rfam family "Bacterial large subunit ribosomal RNA", at positions 1831 to 2601 of the family's 2925-position model. The record is from RNAcentral. Lineage: Eukaryota; Metazoa; Arthropoda; Arachnida; Araneae; Araneidae.
UUCUUACUGUAUUUUUAGUAAGUAACACCUGCCCAGUGAAAAUUUUACGGCCGCGGAAACUUAACCGUGSUAAGGUAGCAUAAUCAUUAGCCCCUUAAUUAGGGGCCAGAAUGAAAGGUAGUACUCUCCAUUCUCUUUAUUUUUUUUUUUAUUUAAAAUUUAAUCAAAAAUAAAAAUGUUUUUAUAACAAAAAUAGACGACAAGACCCUAUUGAACUUUACUUUAGUUUAACUGGGGCAGUUAAAUAAUAAUUACUUUAUUUUUUUAAAUUAAAUAAAUGUCCCAAUACCAUUGAUUUUUUGAUCAAGUUACCAUAGGGAUAACAGCGUAAUAUUUUUUUGUAGCUCUUAUAUAAUAAAAUGAUUGCGACCUCGAUGUUGAAUUAGUAUAACUUUCUAAKGCAACAAUUUUUAAAGUGGGUCUGUUCGACCUUUAAAAUACUACAU